GGAUGCGAUCAUACCAGCACUAACGCACCGGAUCCCAUCAGAACUCCGAAGUUAAGCGUGCUUGGGCGAGAGUAGUACUAGGAUGGGUGACCCCUGGGAAGUCCUCGUGUUGCAUCCCU
This 119-nucleotide ribosomal RNA is filed under the name Solanum tuberosum (potato). Lineage: Eukaryota; Viridiplantae; Streptophyta; Magnoliopsida; Solanales; Solanaceae. The record is from RNAcentral.